Molecule: non-coding RNA, 72 nt
Organism: Balaenoptera musculus (blue whale)
Lineage: Eukaryota; Metazoa; Chordata; Mammalia; Artiodactyla; Balaenopteridae
Source: the annotation of a RefSeq genome assembly
UCCCUGGUGGUCCAGUGGUUAGGACUCUGUGCUUUUGCUCCCAGGGCCCAGGUUCAAUCCCUGGUCAGGGAA